Long non-coding RNA from Cyprinus carpio (common carp), 1228 nucleotides. Lineage: Eukaryota; Metazoa; Chordata; Actinopteri; Cypriniformes; Cyprinidae. The record is from Ensembl.
AUGAACGAAUUUGCUGGAAAGNCUGAUGUAUCAGAGAGGAUCAGAUCAGAUGAAGCUAGAAGAGGAAACAUCAUACUUCAGUUUCAUUUAGAAUUAUUAGAAAUACAAAUGGAGUGUAGAAAUGACAGGACGGAGAGAAAUGAAACACAAACUACUGGAUCUCAAGAGAAAAGCAGACAGAGACUUGUUAGAUGGGACAGUAUGAAGACAAUAAAACCAAAAUUCUGAGAUGAUCCAGACGGGCCUGUAAAGAUUCUUUCAGAUUUUAUCAAGAACACAACACACCAGCAGCUGAAGACUGAGCAUCAUCAUCAUCAUCAUCAUCACUCAGUUCAGCUCCUGGACUCUUUCAGUGUUUACAGACUCAUCUGAUCACAAACAAACAGACUAAUGAUCUGUGUCCCGGCUGGACUCUCAUUCCCUUCCAUCAGUAACUCUGUUGAAUGAAAGGAAAGAUCUCUCCGCUUCUCCAGAUUUACAGCAAAUUAAGAAAAUUAUUUCUGUUCUUAGAGACUCUUUCUGGAUUCAUCUGUCAGCUGAUGAUGAUGUUUUAUAUCUAGCAAAUCUUCAUAAUCUAAGAAUUUGUGUAAAAUCAUGGACAUCACCUGUUCAGAGAAUAUCUGAUUUCAGACGCAGUCAGAUUGUUUCUAGAGUUUCAGAUCUCAGUCUAAAGGAUUAAAUGAAGAGUGUGUAAAUGUGUGUGUGAUGAAACACACCUGAUUCACAUCAGCAGCUCAUCAAUGACUUUAACAGAAACAUCCUGCUCUUUACACUAUAGAUCUCCUGCUUAAACACACAACACUCCAUUACAGCACAAGAUGAGGAGAGUGUGUCUGCUGUAAAUACUGACAUUUCAUACUAAAUGAAAAAUUACCAUUAUUAUUAUUAUUAUUAUUAUUAUUAUUAUUAUUAUGAGUUGAUAACUGAAAUCCUUGACAUGAUCUAUGCUUUCGUGUCUCAUUAUUGACUCUAGGCAAACAGGACAUGCUGUUACUAAAUCCAGCUUCUUCUUCUCAAAAAAUAAGAACUAAAUCAAUAUUUACAGCAGAUAACUUAUAACUUCAUGAGUUCUAGUCAUAAUACACAGUAAACAUACACACACACACACACACACACACACACACACACACACACACCACACAACCACUAAACAUGAAGAACUGUUAUUAAAAUAAUAUGUACAUUACUACAUACUUUGUUCUCUAGAUUUUCAAACUCAUUGUCCUUA